This 253-nucleotide ribosomal RNA is filed under the name uncultured bacterium. Its description in RNAcentral is "partial 16S ribosomal RNA". It matches the Rfam family "Bacterial small subunit ribosomal RNA", at positions 524 to 776 of the family's 1533-position model. The record is from RNAcentral.
UACGAAGGGGGCUAGCGUUGCUCGGAAUUACUGGGCGUAAAGGGCGCGUAGGCGGAUAGUUUAGUCAGAGGUGAAAGCCCAGGGCUCAACCUUGGAAUUGCCUUUGAUACUGGCUAUCUUGAGUUCGGGAGAGGUGAGUGGAAUGCCGAGUGUAGAGGUGAAAUUCGUAGAUAUUGGGAAGAACACCGGUGGCGAAGGCGGCGACCUGGUCCGAUACUGACGCUGAGGCGCGAAAGCGUGGGGAGCAAACAGG